UAACCGUAGGUGAACCUGCGGUUGGAUCAUUACUGUAUUGGUGAUCAAAGUGUAUUGGUAGUGCUAUUACUAAUGCCUUUGUUUCAACCUUACUUUGCUCACUUGAUUUAUGUGUUGGCUACAACUCGUUGUAGUCAGUCUUUGACUUUUUUCAUUAUUCUUUAAUGACCAUUUCAAAAACAAAUUUUAAACAACUUUUGACAACGGAUCUCUUGGCUCUCGUAACGAUGAAGAACGCAGC
This 241-nucleotide unclassified non-coding RNA is filed under the name uncultured fungus. RNAcentral describes it as "sequence contains ITS1, 5.8S rRNA gene". The stretch from base 193 to 241 matches the Rfam family "5.8S ribosomal RNA", at positions 1 to 49 of the family's 154-position model. Lineage: Eukaryota; Fungi. The record is from RNAcentral.